UCCGUUGUGGUCUAGUGGCUAGGAUUUGUCGCUCUCACCGACAAGGCCGGGGUUCAAUUCCCCGCAACGGAA
This 72-nucleotide transfer RNA is filed under the name Delitschia confertaspora ATCC 74209. It matches the Rfam family "tRNA". From Rfam's summary of the family: Transfer RNA (tRNA) molecules are approximately 80 nucleotides in length. The record is from Rfam by way of RNAcentral. Lineage: Eukaryota; Fungi; Ascomycota; Dothideomycetes; Pleosporales; Delitschiaceae.